CCCGAAGGCCGGGGCGCCAAUUUCGUGCAGCGGAAAAAGGCCACAAAAACGGGUGGACUAUAGCCUUGGGGGGUGGGGCUUGCCAUCAUCGUCCGCCGGACUCGGAAUGGCGUGAGACUUUACAAGGCGCCUCCGUGUGCCAAAAAGUGGCCGUGGGCACACCCGCGCCGAAAAAUAACCGCCCGAAGGCCGGGGCGCCAAGUUCGUCCUGCGGAAAAAGCCCACAAAAACGGGUGGGCUAUAGCCUUGGGGGGUGGGGCUGGCCAACUUCGUCCGCUGGUCUCGGAAUGGCGCGAGACUUUCCGAGGCGCCUCCGUAUGCCAAAAAUAGGCUGCGGGAACAGCCGUGCCCAAAAAGAACCGCCCGAAGGCCGGGGCGCAAUUUCGUCCAGCGGAAAAAGCCCACAAAAACGGGUGCGCUAUAGCCUUGGGGGGUGGGGCUGGCCAACUUCGUCCGCCGGACUCGGAAUGGCACGAGACUUUGCGAGCCGCCUCCGUGUGCCAAAAAUAGGCCGCGGGCGCAACCGCGCCCAAAAAUUAGCCCCCGAAGGUCGGGGUGCCAAGACCCCCCAGUGGAAAAAUGGCCAAAAAACGGGUGGGCUAUAGCCUUGGUGGGGGGCGUGGGCGAAGUUCGUCCGCAGGACUAGGAAUUGCCCCAGACUUUGCGGACGGCCCUCGUGUGACAAAAAUAGGCCACGGGCACAGCCGUACCCAAAAAUUAGCCCCCGAAGGUCGGGGUGCCAAGACCCCCCAGCGGAAAAAUGGCCAAAAAACGGGUGGGCUAUAACCUUGGUGGGGGGCGUGGGCGAAGUUCGUCCGCCGGACUCGAAAUGGCCCCAGACUUUGCAGGCGGCCCUCGUGUGCCAAAAAUAGGCCACGGGCACAGCCGCGCCCAAAAAUUAGCCCCCGAAGGUCGGGUUGCCAACACCCCCCAGCGGAAAAAUGGCCCAAAAACGGGUGGGCUAUAGCCUUGGUGGGGGGCGUGGGCGAAGUUCAUCCGCAGGACUCGGAAUGGCCCCAGACUUUGCGGGCGGCCCUCGUGUGCCAAAAAUAGGCCAUGGGCACAGCCGCGCCCAAAAAUUAGCCCCCGAAGGUCGGGGUGCCAAGACCCCCCUGCGGAAAAAUGGCCAAAAAACGGGUGGGCUAUAGCCAAGGUGGGGGGCGUGGGCGAUGUUCGUCCGCAGGACUCGGAAUGGCCCCAGACUUUGCGGGCGGCCCUCGUGUGCCAAAAAUAGGCCACGGGCACAGCCACGCCCAAAAAUUAGCCCCCGAAGGUCGGGGUGCCAAGACCCCCCAGCGGAAAAAUGGCCAAACAACGGGUGGGCUAUAGACUUGUUGGGGGGCGUGGGCGAAGUUCGUCCGCAGGACUCGGAAUGGCCCCAGACUUUGCGGGCGGCCCUCGUCUGCCAAAAAUAGGCCACGGGCACAGCCGCGCCAAAAAAUUAGCCCCCGAAGGUCGGGGUGCCAAGACCCCCCAGCGGAAAAAUGGCCAAAAAACGGGUGGGCUAUAGCCUUGGUGGGGGGCGUGGGCAAAGUUCGUCCGCCGGACUCGGAAUGGCCCCAGACUUUGUGGGGGGCCCUCGUGUGCCAAAAAUAGGCCACGGACACAGGCGCGCCCAAAAAUUAGCCCCCGAAGGUCGGGGUGCCAAGACCCCCCAGCGGACAAAUGGCCAAAAAACAGGUGGGCUAUAGCCUUGGUGGGGGGCGUGUGCGAUGUUCGUCCGCCGGACUCGAAAUGGCCCCAGACUUUGCGGGCGGCCCUCGUGUGCCAAAAAUAGGCCACGGGCACAGCCGCGCCCAAAACUUAGCCCCCGAAGGUCGGGGUGCCAAGACCCCCCAGCGGAAAAAUGGCCAAAAAACGGGUGGGCUAUAGCCUUGGUGGGGGGCGUGGGCGAAGUUCGUCCGCCGGACUCGAAAUGGCCCCAGACUUUGCGGGCGGCCCUCGUGUGCCAGAAAUAGGCCACGGGCACAGCCGUGCCCAAAACUUAGCCCCCGAAGGUCGGGGUGCCAAGACCCCCCAGCGGAAAAAUGGCCAAAAAACGGGUGGGCUAUAGCCUUGGUGGGGGGCGUGGGCGAAGUUCGUCCGCCGGACUCGAAAUGGCCCCAGACUUUGCGGGCGGCCCUCGUGUGCCAAAAAUAGGCCACGGGCACAGCCGCGCCCAAAAAUUAGCCCCCGAAGGUCGGGGUGCCAAGACCCCCGAGCGGAAAAGUUGCCAAAAAACGGGUGGGCUAUAGCCUUGGUGGGGGGCGUGGGCGAAGAUCGUCCGCAGGGCUCGGAAUGGCCCCAGACUUUGCGGGCGGCCCUCGUCUGCCAAAAAUAGGCCACGGACACCGCCGCGCCCAAAAAUCAGCCCCCGAAGAUCGGGGUGCCAAGACCCCCAGCGGAAAAAUGGCCAAAAAACGGGUGGGCUAUAGCCUUGGUGGGGGGCGUGGGCGAAGUUCGUCCGCAGGACUCGGAAUGGCCCCAGACUUUGCGGGAGGCCCUCGUGUGCCAAAAAUAGGCCACGGGCACAGCCGCGCCCAAAAUUAGCCCCCGAAGGUCGGGGUGCCAAGACCCCCCAGCGGAAAAAUGGCCAAAAAACGGGUGGGCUAUAGCCUUGGUGGGGGGCGUGGGCGAAGUUCGUCCGCAGGACUCGGAAUGGCCCCAGACUUUGCGGGCGGCUCUCGUGUGCCAAAAAUAGGCCACGGGCACAGCCGCGCCCAAAAAUUAGCCCCCAAAGGUCGGGGUGCCAAGACCCCCCAGCGGAAAAGUUGCCAAAAAACGGGUGGGCUAUAGCCUUGGUGGGGGGCGUGGGCGAAGUUCGUCCGCCGGGCUCGAAAUGGCCCCAGACUUUGCGGGCGGCCCUCGUGUGCCAAAAAUAGGCCACGGGCACAGCCGCGCCCAAAAAUUAGCCCCCGAAGGUCGGGGUGCCAAGACCCCCCAGCGGAAAAAUGGCCAAAAAACGGGUGGGCUAUAGCCUUGGUGGGGGGCGUGGGCCGA
Molecule: long non-coding RNA, 2979 nt
Filed under: Citrus x clementina
Lineage: Eukaryota; Viridiplantae; Streptophyta; Magnoliopsida; Sapindales; Rutaceae
Description: Citrus clementina (C. clementina) long non-coding RNA (CCLE_LNC006206)
Source: RNAcentral